This 396-nucleotide ribosomal RNA is filed under the name Triticum aestivum (bread wheat). RNAcentral's name for it is "partial small subunit ribosomal RNA". The record is from RNAcentral. Lineage: Eukaryota; Viridiplantae; Streptophyta; Magnoliopsida; Poales; Poaceae.
AUGGAUCUACUGGACCAUGCCCAGGAAAGAUCCGGCUGUCGUCGUUGCCGCCGCCGGCGCGCUGGGAGCGGCAGCGCCAGGCGGGUUGCCGCCGCCGGACGAGGUGGCGUUCGGCCUGACAACGUUGUGGUGGUGCUGUUGAUGCUGAUUCUGAUGUUGUUGCUGCCCCUGGAACUGGAUCUUGUACUGCGUUUUGUUGCCGUCGAGGUCGUCCUCCUCGUCCUCGUCCUCGUAGUCGUCCUCGUCCUCGUCGUCCUCGUCCAUGUUGUCGCUCUCGGCGCCGCCGCCGCCCGUACGGUUGUAGCUGUUGAUCGCAGCCUGCUGCGCCGCCUGCGGCUGCGGCUGUGGCUGCCUCUGCUCCAUCGUCGUCUCCUUCAUGAUGCCUUCUGGCUUUAA